Molecule: long non-coding RNA, 2807 nt
Filed under: Rattus norvegicus (Norway rat)
Lineage: Eukaryota; Metazoa; Chordata; Mammalia; Rodentia; Muridae
Description: long non-coding RNA NONRATT022598
Source: RNAcentral
UAAAAAUGCUAACGUUGGGGGUGGGGGGGACGUUUAGGCAAAAGCGGUAGGGCUACCAUCAGACCUGGAGAACCCGAGCUCUCACCACCAGCAGUUCCUGCUGUCCUCUGCCACAUCCCUUUAUCUGCUUUUCAUAGUUCCACGGGCGACUUUUCUGUCCCACGCUUCGGGUGCUGGCGUCAGAGAACCAGGGGCAAGCGCAGUUCAUACCCACGUCUUGGAAGCUUGUUUCUGAGUUUGGGUUGGUUUGGUUGGCUUAUCGUUUCACAGCCUAAGCUAGACGGAGCUAGAAGAAAGGAAUCCUGCAGCCGCUGUGCGUGCGGGCUUCUGGGCUCUGCUUAUUUGUGAACCAAAUGCUUAAAGAAUGUGCUGGAUGUACUCCAUACAAAAGGCUUUCCCUAAACCUUUCCAUCCUAGAUCUGCCAGGUAAUCUACUUCGUCCACCUCCAAGCUCACCAGCUUAGCUUUCUGAACUUUAAGGUCUCUGAGCUAACUAUUGUGCUGCAUGCUUUCCAGAAAAAAAAAAUCCACUUGCUUCUUCCAGCUCCACACCUCACUUCCGCCCGCGCUUCCUUGUGAUCAGAGGUUGGCUUUGACGUGCCAUGACAGUUGGCUUCCUCUUGAACUGCUGUGAAAACAGUCUAGUACAGAGAUGCUGUCAGCUGGGGUGGGAGUUGAGAGCGCUUGUGAAGCCGGGGCGUGUGCUGGCAAAGAUUGCCCUGCAGAAGAUACACGAUUUGCCACUUCCGGGUGUUCAUCUCCCUGCUGGUCGAAGUGUUUGUAGAUUCUGACCUGUGGUCCGAAGUUCUGUCUGACUUUCCUUCUUGUGGCCUUUGGAGGGAGCAAGUCACCUUCUUCCUGACCUGCCUACCCAGGCCAUGUGGUGAGGCUGAGGAACUCUUAGCCUCAAGUGAUAGUGGUAGGUGUUUAUUUUUUGGUGACGCUUCAUGGGGCUGCUGCACAGCUCUCACAAACUGCCCGUUAAGCUUGUCUUGUGCUGUCAUCGCUGCGACAGAUACAUGAGUGCUCCACGGCCUAGCUCGGCUGGGACCUGAAUCUUCUAGUGAAAAGCUUUUCCUUGCCCCCAAAUGUUUAAUCUAGCCCGAUUCACAACGACACAGAAUUCCUUGGCUUUCAAAGGCUUGUAUCUGCCUGCAUCUUGUUUUGUCCUCACAGCCCAGGGAGAUAGGGGUUUUCAGUACCUUUACCCAGGCUUGGAAGCUAAGGUUACAGGUUGAGGGUGAGAGGUCUCUUGUAUGAGAGACAAUAUUGAGACUCGAAUGCAAGGCUCUCUAAGAGUCUCUUUUCUGCCCCACCUGAUUUCUCCAGAUGCUAACUGCAAGACAAAUUGACUUUGUCCUUUUAGAAGUUUCCUGCCUGCCAAGAACUUUCUGAGGGGACAGUCUUCCAAAAAGGAGGAGGAGCUUGAAGUCGCUCCAUUUUCUAGCAUCCUCUGGUUGCUUCAGGGCAGCUUUGCAUGGACCAAAGCUGUUCUUGGAGGCUGCAAACCAAAUCCUGGAAGCACCUUGCUUGUCUUCCCCACUAUCUUCCUUCCUAAGGGAAUUACUUUUCUUUUUCCAAGCUGGUCGGCAAGUUCUACUAUGCGACAGAUCACUCCAGGCUUCUGGUCACCCCCUCAUGGGCAAUAUUUGCUACUUCGGCCAAGGGUUUCAGACAGCCCAGCAGGCCCCAAGCUGGCUCCGCCCUCUUGCUGAUGGGAGGAGCAACAGGCAGGUUAAGCCUCGCUCCCACAUUCUCCUGGGUGUCUAAACCUCAGCAUAUCCAGGAGACCACGUGGUAGAGUGCCCGUCCCUGCCUUGGGAAGAGAAAGGUUUCCCAUCUCUGCUCCAGCUUGAGAAGCGUCUUAUCAUGAAACACGAGGUCAGCAGAGAUCUGUGUGCGUGACUUGCACAGACAUGGAAACAUAAAUGCAGUUAAAAUGCUGACAUAUCAGAUGUGAGGUUCUGUAUCCUCUUACAGAAUGUGAAUCUGGUGGUUCCAAAUUUAGCCUUCUCACACCCCCUAUCCUCAUUCAUCCUCUCUGGCUAAGCGAUGAGCCCCCUAUUUCUCAUCCCCAAAAAAAUCCCCAGCGUGGGCCGCUCUGUGCGCUGCUGUAGGCCACGCAGCUGCCUAAUUACUAGCGAAUCUUUGAAAUUAAGAGAAAGCCACGCCCAUUGGCAAAGGCACUAAUUCUUCUCUGCUCUGGCAAUGGCAGGACCCCAAAAGCAGAACUCCAUUUUACGUAGGAGGUCGUGGGAGCAAGAAGAGGACAAGCUGGUCUCCCUAGGCAGGGCAGUGAGCAGACACUGUAAAUAUUUUUACACAAAAUUUUAUUAAAGCAAAAGUUAUUUCCUGAAGAUCCACCCUGGGUGAGGCUUUGUGUUGGCUUUAGAAAUCACCUCGGGCCUAAGAAUACAUUUCUUACAUAGCUCCUUCAUUGUGCUCAAAGAAAGCAAAGGAUUCACGUGCUCAAUUUAAAAGUCUCCGAAAAACAUGGGUUGUUUUUUUUUCCUAGACUUUUCAGGAUUUUCUCUUCUUAGCUUUGUCACAAUGUGGGGUAGGACAGGGUCUCCCAGGAUGCAUGGGUCCCUCUGCUUGGUGGAGGCUGUCCAGGCACUUGGUCUUCUAAGCAGUGAGGAAGCCUAGGUGUAUCCCGGUUCACCAUGGGAGCCCCCGUGUAGCUCCGACCCCUCCAGACAUGCAACUUCUACUUGUGUUCACAGCGACCAUCUUCACUGAUCAACCCUGUGCCACGUGGUGUGUGUUUUCCCCACUGACAAUGAAUAAAAGGUGUGACUGUACAAGAA